This is a long non-coding RNA of Gallus gallus (chicken), 535 nucleotides long. Lineage: Eukaryota; Metazoa; Chordata; Aves; Galliformes; Phasianidae. The record is from Ensembl.
AGACACUUGCACUGGAUGAUUGACAAAACACAAUAGCAAAUCUGGCUUUACAGAGGGGUGCAAGAGAUGGGCUUAGGAGUCUGACCUCCUCACAGCUGCUAUGUAGGUGGGCACAGGCUCAGCUGCUUGCAGGACAUGAAGCAUACAAAUACCACAACACAACAAAAAAAAGUGCUGGCUGUUCAAAGACAAAGUAACUACUUUCCAGCGCACCUUAGUAAAAAAGAUUUUUCCUAAGAAAUGCAUAAGGAGUUUUGCAAGAUGAAAUGGAAAGAGUAUAUAAAAGAAAGAAAAAGCAAAUCAAGAAGUUUGUAUGAAGAGCAUGAAUACUUCUAUGAUAUUCAACUGUGAAACAGCUGAUACUCUUGCUUUGACGCUUGACCUGCCAACUCUUCCUCUCUCUACAAUCCCAUCAUUUAGAAAAGCAGUUUGAGAGAAUUCUGACAAGUUAUGAUAUUUUCCUUUCUUUUCAUAAAAACAGGUACUACUGGUGUCUCUACUGAUGUUUCAAAACCAAUUAGAUCUUGGUCUUUGG